This 1019-nucleotide ribosomal RNA is filed under the name uncultured bacterium. Its description in RNAcentral is "bacterial SSU rRNA". It matches the Rfam family "Bacterial small subunit ribosomal RNA", at positions 355 to 1375 of the family's 1533-position model. The record is from RNAcentral.
UGAGGAAUAUUGGUCAAUGGGCGUAAGCCUGAACCAGCCAAGUAGCGUGAGGGAAGACUGCCCUAUGGGUUGUAAACCUCUUUUGUGCGGGGAUAAAGUGUGGGACGUGUCCCAUAUUGCAGGUACCGCACGAAUAAGGACCGGCUAAUUCCGUGCCAGCAGCCGCGGUAAUACGGAAGGUCCGGGCGUUAUCCGGAUUUAUUGGGUUUAAAGGGAGCGCAGGCCGUCCUUUAAGCGUGCUGUGAAAUGCCGCGGCUCAACCGUGGCACUGCAGCGCGAACUGGAGGACUUGAGUACGCACGAGGUAGGCGGAAUUCGUGGUGUAGCGGUGAAAUGCUUAGAUAUCACGAAGAACUCCGAUUGCGAAGGCAGCUUACCGGAGCGCAACUGACGCUGAGGCUCGAAAGCGCGGGUAUCGAACAGGAUUAGAUACCCUGGUAGUCCGCGCGGUAAACGAUGGAUGCCCGCCGUUGGGAUUUAGAUUUCAGCGGCCAAGCGAAAGCGUUAAGCAUCCCACCUGGGGAGUACGCCGGCAACGGUGAAACUCAAAGGAAUUGACGGGGGCCCGCACAAACGGAGGAACAUGUGGUUUAAUUCGAUGAUACGCGAGGAACCUUACCCGGGCUUGAAUUGCAGGAGAACGAUCCAGAGAUGGUGAGGCCCUUCGGGGCUCCUGUGAAGGUGCUGCAUGGUUGUCGUCAGCUCGUGCCGUGAGGUGUCGGCUCAAGUGCCAUAACGAGCGCAACCCCUGUCCAUAGUUGCCAUCAGGUCGUGCUGGGCACUCUGUGGAGACUGCCGCCGUAAGGUGUGAGGAAGGUGGGGAUGACGUCAAAUCAGCACGGCCCUUACGUCCGGGGCUACACACGUGUUACAAUGGGGCAUACAGCGAGUUGGAUGUGCGCAAGUACGUCCGGAUCAAUAAAGUGCCUCUCAGUUCGGACUGGGGUCUGCAACCCGACCCCACGAAGCUGGAUUCGCUAGUAAUCGCGCAUCAGCCAUGGCGCGGUGAAUACGUUCCC